GGAGAUUGUGCAUUCUUUUUGUUGUUGUUGUUGUUAUUUGACUAUAUUUGUUUUUUUGUAAGGAAUCAUCGAGACUUUGACGGCUAAAGUUGAGGAUUAGGAAGCUAUCAAAACAUAUCCUCCGCCACUACCACCACAAUACGCUUGUAUUAGGAUUUUAUUAUUGUACUUUGUUAAUUUAUAUGUACAUUUUGAAUAUAUA
RNAcentral lists this long non-coding RNA (202 nucleotides) under Prunus persica (peach). RNAcentral's name for it is "long non-coding RNA (PPER_LNC002712)". The record is from RNAcentral. Lineage: Eukaryota; Viridiplantae; Streptophyta; Magnoliopsida; Rosales; Rosaceae.